UACGGAAUGUGGCCCCGGUAAAACGGCAUACUGUACAGUAGAAAAAGGACCUGGCUGAUCAGCAUCUACGGCUCGUACCCCUUGGAGAACUCUUGUACCAACUACCGUGACCUACAUUAGCAAUAAUCUUCGUCGAUUACAUUCACGUAGACGCUGGCGGGUCCAUCGAUGCCCUCUUUGUCGAGAGGUCUGACCAGAGUCAAGUUUUUGGAAAAAGCUGAAAAUGCUACAGGGCUGUCGUGUUCCUGGAGCCUGAGCUCGAUGUCACCUUGUGGUCCAGGAUCACCCAACACACCCAGGACACCCACGGUGUCACCGACCGGCAAAUCUUCGCUGACAAAGAGAUGCGCGGCGGUGGCACCGUUUUCCAGAAAGCAUCGCGCGUCACGAAUUACUAUAUUCAAAUAUAAUGCAAUUUCAAUGGAAGAAUUAAUUUGAUCAUAUCAAAGACUGAAGAUGAAAGGAUAAAGGGUGGACGGCGUGUUAAAAGCGGAAGUGGUGGUCGACUUCAAAGUCUGUGGGGACGUUGUUCUGUUUCUUCAGCUUCUUUGAAUAACGACCGAUCGUGUUCCGUUGAUACCGAAACAGAUAUUGCGUUCUCAGGAAUCAUGCGGUUUUUGGUUUUCCGGCGUUUUUCACAAAGCGGUUGACCGCUCUUCCUGUCUGCAUACUCCUUAAGUUUUCGAAUAUUUUUAUAUUGUGCUGAUAAUUAUUUCUUUUAUAGCUACGUUCAUUAAUUUGGGUUUAAUCGAGUGAAAACUAAGAGAAACAAUAAGCUAAUUAAGGCAAGAAAAUAACUAUAGCAAAAAGAUCUGAAUUUUAAUGGGAAAACGUAGGGAAAAGGUGCGUUCAAUAGGCAAUAAAAAUGGCUUAUACGCUGUGCGGUCAUAAAUUAAGGGGUUAGGAUACUUUCUCUGUACGAAAAACGAGACGAUUUUUAAGUGGCGAUAAACGAAAAAGUAAACCAUCGAUUAUCUUGAAACUUUGUACUAUAAUUAGGUGUAAUAUUGGGUGAAAAAUGCUGUGGACAAUGUUUAAAAAAUGUUUAUUUUUAAGGUGGCAAAUUGCCAAGUUUCCAAGCUUGUUUUUUCUUCGAUGGCCAUCUGGUGUGCAAGAAUGCAACAAAAUGACUGUUACCAGCAACAAAAACCGAAAUAUUUUAUUAACUAUAAUAAAAUUGCUAGGGAUUAACAAUGAGACAUUUCAAUUUUUGUAAAAAUGAACAAUAUGGCAGAUGUUUGAAGUUUGAAGAUCAAAUUUCGACGAAAAAUGAGUUGUUAUUGCUUAUAUUUUGCAGAAUUGUUAGAAAAUUAAAAGAAAAACGAAUCGUCAAUCCCUAGUAAAUGUAAUAGCAAAAGUAACUGUAAAGUUUCAAAGCAAUUGAUUCAUUAGAACUAGAGCAAUCCUGCACACCGUUUUAAAAAACAUAGUUGUGAAAAACAUAGAGAAAAACGCGUUCAAAGUAAGCUCCAGCGCGUAGAACGCAGGUACACGCCACCGCUUUGGGCUCUGAAUGUCCAGCAAAAAAAAUUGUUUCGAAACUGGGCCUUUUGCAUAAUGUUCUUAGGCUUCAAACUAUUAUUUAAGGCAAAAAAAAAAAUCGAUUUUUUCGAAAUUACAAAGUAUCUUAACCCUUUAAGAGUCUUGAAUCGUGACAUGCGUUCGUAACAGAAUCAAAGCAGACGGUGUUAAGCGAUCGUUGACUCUAAUCUGUUGUGCAUCGAAGCUUCUGUUAUCCGUUAUUUUGCACAAUUUAACUGUACCAUGUGUGAUCUUUCAGGUACGCCAGAGACAAUAUUUGUAAUAUUUAUUCAUAUAUAAAAAUUAGGUUUAAAGUCAUCGAAAUUGAUAUAUUAACGAGACAUUUCGUUCUUUAUUAUAAUCAUCGCUUCUAUCAUCGAUACAGUAGAAACCUACAUUUUGUUGACCGGCGGAGCGCAAGUGGUCAUCUACAUUCGCGAUGGGGCAUGCAGAUAAAGAAUUCAGUUCCCACACAUGGAGACAUUUGUGUCUAAGUAUUAAAUGUGCACACGUAGACGUCAUUUAACAGGAACGCGUGGACGAGGGUUAGACGUGCGCGCUCCCUUGGAGCGCAGUUCCGUCUGCUGCCAGCUCACGGUGUAUCGACGAUGCAACGUUCCGGCUUUGCCUUUCGUAACCUUUUUUCCCCCCCGUAGUUUGAAGACUUUUCCAGAAGAAAAUUACACUAUAAAUUCCCUUCGAUGCAGAGAACUUAUGCAUUUGCGUGAUUCGAGUAAUACCUAUCUUGCAAAAUUGUUAAUAACUGGUCAGAGGUAGUAGGUUAGAUGAUAAAGCGGAACAAGUUAUUUGUCUCAACAAUUCAUCAGCAGUUUCCUUCGCUCAAUUGAACAGCCGGCAAAACAAGGAUUAGCAAGGCUGGUUCACACGAUCAAGGAGAGCGAAAAAAGUAAAUGCCCGUUUAUCUUAACAACAGACGCACUUCCUGCGUGUCGAGAUAACGACUAAUUGUUAUGCAAAUCAGAAACACCGAUUCCUAUAGUGAAACGAAUCGUCCUUUUUACGAGCACCAAAAUGAUAUCACAGAUUCAUGUAACAGCUACUAAUGCAUCCAAUUGUGCGUGUGGUUACGUGACUAGGUAAGGACUUGUUAUUCUAUAAGUGCAUCGUGAUCUUGCAAAGACUUAACCCUUUCGCUGCCACGGUGGUCCCAUGGGACCGGCGCUUGUCUUUUCAUU
Osmia lignaria (orchard mason bee) is the source of this 2717-nucleotide long non-coding RNA. RefSeq lists it as uncharacterized. NCBI's taxonomy places the organism in Eukaryota, Metazoa, Arthropoda, Insecta, Hymenoptera, Megachilidae. The record is from RefSeq and is a predicted model, not a curated record.